Molecule: long non-coding RNA, 898 nt
Organism: Helianthus annuus (common sunflower)
Lineage: Eukaryota; Viridiplantae; Streptophyta; Magnoliopsida; Asterales; Asteraceae
Exons: 3
Source: RefSeq, a predicted model, not a curated record
AAACAUAUUGGAUCUGCAUCUGGUGGUGAUUCGAAGGUGUUUUAUUUGAAAAUGAAAGGUGAUUAUUGUAGGUAUUUGGCUGAGUUUAAGACUGGAGAUGAGAGGAAGCUGGUGAUAUGAACUAAUGGUCAAUAGAGGUUAGAACGAAUUAGUCAACAGAGGUUAAAAGAGGGUUAGUCAACCGAGGUUAAAAGGGUUAGUCAACAGAGGUUAAAAGGGAUCAAGCAACAAAGGUUAAAAGAGUCAGUUAACAUAGGUUAGCAGGUUGUUGAGUUAGUUGGACAACUGGCUGGAUGUUAGUUGUUAGUUGAGAGGUAGUUAGAGGAAUGUUACUUGUUAGUUGGAAUGUGAGGGUACAAAAGGAAAGAUUAUAGUAGUGUUUGGUGAUGCGGUUUUAUUUUUAGUUAUCUCACUUUAUUUUCCGUAGAUGAUUAUGAUAGGUUUCGAAUAAGACUAUUACUAUUCCUGCUGUGGAAGUAGAGCCGCCUGGAUACUCAUACAAUCCAUCAUCUGAAAGUCAUCAAGAUUCAUUGGCUCAAGCUGUUGCAGAUGAAAUGCAGAAAAUUUAUACGAAAGAAUUGCGUCCAAAACCUGUUCCUUUAAUUGUUGAAGGGGGAGUUAUUGAUGAGGAAGAUGUGGAACAGGACAUUCUAAAUCAGCGCUGAAGGUUUAAGAGGGAUUGGAAUCAAGCCAUGUGAAAAGCUAGAACUUUUUGCUGACAAUUCUUUUCGGUGGCUUAUUGAUGGAUUGCAUUUCGAUAGUAAUCGAUCCUUAAUAGUAAACUUAACAUCUGCAGUGCUUUUUUAUUAUAACUUAUCCAUAUCUAAUGCAUGAUUAUUUAUGUUUGUUCCCUGUAUCAUAACCUUGAAAUUAUAAACUACAUGUAUGGUUUAUAACA